CAGCCGCCGCGGUAAUACGGAGGGUGCAAGCGUUAUCCGGAUUUAUUGGGUUUAAAGGGUCCGUAGGCGGAUCUGUAAGUCAGUGGUGAAAUCUCACAGCUUAACUGUGAAACUGCCAUUGAUACUGCAGGUCUUGAGUAAAUUUGAAGUGGCUGGAAUAAGUAGUGUAGCGGUGAAAUGCAUAGAUAUUACUUAGAACACCAAUUGCGAAGGCAGGUCACUAAGAUUUAACUGACGCUGAUGGACGAAAGCGUUGGGAGCGAACAGGAUUAGAUACCCCCGUAGUCCCUGUCUCUUAUAC
RNAcentral lists this ribosomal RNA (301 nucleotides) under uncultured bacterium. RNAcentral's name for it is "partial 16S ribosomal RNA". It matches the Rfam family "Bacterial small subunit ribosomal RNA", at positions 509 to 807 of the family's 1533-position model. The record is from RNAcentral.